Molecule: ribosomal RNA, 708 nt
Filed under: uncultured bacterium
Lineage: Bacteria
Description: bacterial SSU rRNA
Rfam family: Bacterial small subunit ribosomal RNA
Source: RNAcentral
ACAUGCAGUCGUACGAAAGUGUUAAACUUUUAGUGGGCGGACGGGUGAGUAACACGUGAGAAUUUACCUUUAGGAGGGGAAUAACAGUUGGAAACGACUGCUAAUGCCGCAUAUCAUAACUAUGAAAGAAGAAAUUCGCCUAAAGAAAAGCUUGCGUCUAAUUAGCUAGUUGGUGAGGGUAAAGGCCUACCAAGGCGACGAUCAGUAGCUGGUUUGAGAGGACGACCAGUCACACUGGAACUGAGACACGGUCCAGACUCCUACGGGAGGCAGCAGUGGGGAAUUUUCUGCAAUGGGCGAAAGCCUGACAGAGCAAUACCGCGUGAGGGAAGAAAGCCCACAGGGUUGUAAACCUCUUUUGUCAAGGAAGAAGUUCUGACGUUACUUGACGAAUAAGCAUCGGCUAACUCCGUGCCAGCAGCCGCGGUAAGACGGGGGAUGCAAGUGUUAUCCGGAAUCACUGGGCGUAAAGCGUUUGUAGGUGGUUUAGUAAGUCUAUUGUUAAAGCUUGAAGCUCAACUUCAAAAAUGUAAUAGAAACUACUAGACUUGAGGAUAGUAGGGGUAAAGGGAAUUUCCAGUGGAGCGGUGAAAUGCGUAGAGAUUGGAAGGACCACCGAUGGCGAAGGCACUUUACUGGGCUAUUUCUGACACUAAGAGACGAAAGCUAGGGUAGCGAAUGGGAUUAGAUACCCCCAGUAGUCCUAGC